GGUGCUAAUACCGCAUAACCAUAGUUACCGCAUGGUAACUAUGUAAAAGGUGGCUAUGCUACCGCUUUUGGAUGGGCCCGCGGCGCAUUAGCUAGUUGGUGGGGUAAAGGCUUACCAAGGCAAUGAUGCGUAGCCGAACUGAGAGGUUGAUCGGCCACAUUGGGACUGAGACACGGCCCAAACUCCUACGGGAGGCAGCAGUAGGGAAUCUUCCACAAUGGGCGAAAGCCUGACGGAGCAACGCCGCGUGGGUGAAGAAGGUCUUCGGAUCGUAAAACCCUGUUGUUAGAGAAGAAAGUGCGUGAGAGUAACUGUUCACGUUUCGACGGUAUCUAACCAGAAAGCCACGGCUAACUACGUGCCAGCAGCCGCGGUAAUACGUAGGUGGCAAGCGUUAUCCGGAUUUAUUGGGCGUAAAGGGAACGCAGGCGGUCUUUUAAGUCUGAUGUGAAAGCCUUCGGCUUAACCGGAGUAGUGCAUUGGAAACUGGGAGACUUGAGUGCAGAAGAGGAGAGUGGAACUCCAUGUGUAGCGGUGAAAUGCGUAGAUAUAUGGAAGAACACCAGUGGCGAAAGCGGCUCUCUGGUCUGUAACUGACGCUGAGGUUCGAAAGCGUGGGUAGCAAACAGGAUUAGAUACCCUGGUAGUCCACGCCGUAAACGA
This 663-nucleotide ribosomal RNA is filed under the name uncultured bacterium. Its description in RNAcentral is "bacterial SSU rRNA". It matches the Rfam family "Bacterial small subunit ribosomal RNA", at positions 159 to 809 of the family's 1533-position model. The record is from RNAcentral.